RNAcentral lists this transfer RNA (60 nucleotides) under Proasellus racovitzai. RNAcentral describes it as "transfert RNA-H(CAC)". The record is from RNAcentral. Lineage: Eukaryota; Metazoa; Arthropoda; Malacostraca; Isopoda; Asellidae.
GUCUUAGUAGUUUAUAAAAAUACCAACAUGUGAGGUUGGAGAAGAUCCAUUCUUAAGACA